UCGAGAAUCUUUCGCAAUGGGGGAAACCCUGACGACGCGACGCCGCGUGGAGGAUGAAGGCCUUCGGGUUGUAAACUCCUGUCAGCAGGGGAGAACAAGCUUUUGGUGAAUAAUCAAGAGCUUUGACCGUACCUGCAGAGGAAGCCACGGCUAACUCUGUGCCAGCAGCCGCGGUAAUACAGAGGUGGCAAGCGUUGUUCGGCUUUAUUGGGCGUAAAGGGUCCGUAGGCGGCCUGAAAAGUUGGAUGUGAAAUCCCACAGCUUAACUGUGGAACUGCAUUCAAAACUUUCAGGCUCGAGUGUGAGAGGGGUAAAGGGAAUUCCCGGUGUAAGGGUGAAAUCUGCAGAGAUCGGGAGGAACACCAGUCGCGAAGGCGCUUUACUGGAUCACUACUGACGCUGAGGGACGAAAGCCAGGGGAGCAAACG
Molecule: ribosomal RNA, 428 nt
Filed under: uncultured prokaryote
Description: bacterial SSU rRNA
Rfam family: Bacterial small subunit ribosomal RNA
Source: RNAcentral